Molecule: ribosomal RNA, 910 nt
Filed under: uncultured Chloroflexota bacterium
Lineage: Bacteria; Bacillati; Chloroflexota
Description: bacterial SSU rRNA
Rfam family: Bacterial small subunit ribosomal RNA
Source: RNAcentral
GGGUGAUGAAGGCCUUCGGGUUGUAAAACUCUUUUAUGGGGGAAGAGGAAGGACGGUACCCCAUGAAUAAGCGUCGGCUAACUACGUGCCAGCAGCCGCGGUAAAACGUAGGACGCAAGCGUUAUCCGGAUUUACUGGGCGUAAAGAGCGUUGAGGCGGUUCUGUAAGUUGGGCGUGAAAGCCCUCGGCUUAACUGAGGGACGCCGUCCAAUACUGCAGGACUUGAGGGCAGCAGAGGGAGGUGGAAUUCCCGGUGUAGCGGUGAAAUGCGUAGAGAUCGGGAGGAACACCAGUGGCGAAGGCGGCCUCCUGGGCUGCUUCUGACGCUGAAUGCGAAAGCUAGGGUAGCGAACGGGAUUAGAAUCCCCGGUAGUCCUAGCUGUAAACGAUGGAUGCUAGGUGUAGGAGGUAUAGAUCCCUUCUGUGCCGAAGCUAACGCGAUAAGCAUCCCGCCUGGGGACUACGGCCGCAAGGCUAAAACUCAAACGAAUUGACGGGGGCCCGCACAAGCAGCGGAGCGUGUGGUUUAAUUCGAUGCUACACGAAGAACCUUACCUGGGUUUGACAUGUAGGUAGUAGUGAAGCGAAAGCGGAACGACCCUUCGGGGAGCCUACACAGGUGCUGCAUGGCUGUCGUCAGCUCGUGCCGUGAGGCGUCGGGUUAAGUCCCGUAACGAGCGCAACCCCUGUCCUUAGUUACAAGUGUCUAAGGAGACUGCCGGCGACAAGCCGGAGGAAGGUGGGGAUGACGUCAAGUCAGCAUGGCCUUUAUGUCCAGGGCUACACACACGCUACAAUGGCCGGUACAAUGGGUUGCCAAGCCGUGAGGCGGAGCUAAUCCCCCAAAGCCGGUCUCAGUUCGGAUUGUGGGCUGCAACUCGCCCACAUGAAGUUGGAGUUGCUAGUAACC